This 464-nucleotide ribosomal RNA is filed under the name uncultured bacterium. RNAcentral describes it as "partial 16S ribosomal RNA". It matches the Rfam family "Bacterial small subunit ribosomal RNA", at positions 339 to 795 of the family's 1533-position model. The record is from RNAcentral.
CUACGGGUGGCUCCAGUGGGGAAUAUUGGACAAUGGGGGGAACCCUGAUCCAGCCAUGCCGCGUGUGUGAAGAAGGCCUUUUGGUUGUAAAGCACUUUAAGCAGUGAAGAAGACUCUUCGGUUAAUACCCGGGGACGAUGACAUUAGCUGCAGAAUAAGCACCGGCUAACUCUGUGCCAGCAGCCGCGGUAAUACAGAGGGUGCAAGCGUUAAUCGGAAUUACUGGGCGUAAAGCGAGCGUAGGUGGCUUGAUAAGUCAGAUGUGAAAUCCCCGGGCUUAACCUGGGAACUGCAUCUGAAACUGUUAGGCUAGAGUAGGGGAGAGGGAAGUAGAAUUUCAGGUGUAGCGGUGAAAUGCGUAGAGAUCUGAAGGAAUACCGAUGGCGAAGGCAGCUUCCUGGCAUCAUACUGACACUGAGGCUCGAAAGCGUGGGUAGCAAACAGGAUUAGAUACCCGUGUAGUC